RNAcentral lists this ribosomal RNA (253 nucleotides) under uncultured bacterium. Its description in RNAcentral is "partial 16S ribosomal RNA". It matches the Rfam family "Bacterial small subunit ribosomal RNA", at positions 524 to 776 of the family's 1533-position model. The record is from RNAcentral.
UACGGAGGAUCCAAGCGUUAUCCGGAAUCAUUGGGUUUAAAGGGUCCGUAGGCGGGCAGUUAAGUCAGGGGUGAAAGUUUGCGGCUCAACCGUAAAAUUGCCUCUGAUACUGAUUGUCUUGAAUUAUUAUGAAGUGGUUAGAAUGAGUAGUGUAGCGGUGAAAUGCAUAGAUAUUACUCAGAAUACCGAUUGCGAAGGCAGAUCACUAAUAAUAUAUUGACGCUGAUGGACGAAAGCGUGGGGAGCGAACAGG